This 253-nucleotide ribosomal RNA is filed under the name uncultured bacterium. Its description in RNAcentral is "partial 16S ribosomal RNA". It matches the Rfam family "Bacterial small subunit ribosomal RNA", at positions 524 to 776 of the family's 1533-position model. The record is from RNAcentral.
UACGAAGGGGGCUAGCGUUGCUCGGAAUCACUGGGCGUAAAGGGUGCGUAGGCGGGUUUUUAAGUCAGAGGUGAAAUCCUGGAGCCCAACUCCAGAACUGCCUUUGAUACUGAAAGUCUUGAGUAUGGGAGAGGUGAGUGGAACUGCGAGUGUAGAGGUGAAAUUCGUAGAUAUUCGCAAGAACACCAGUGGCGAAGGCGGCUCACUGGUCCGGUACUGACGCUGAGGUGCGAAAGCGUGGGGAGCAAACAGG